Molecule: long non-coding RNA, 825 nt
Filed under: Trifolium pratense (red clover)
Lineage: Eukaryota; Viridiplantae; Streptophyta; Magnoliopsida; Fabales; Fabaceae
Description: long non-coding RNA (TPRA_LNC008411)
Source: RNAcentral
CUUAUGACUAAUCUACCACAUCUUUCUAACAUCACAUGCAACCUUCAUUUCAUGAUCACAUGAUGUCAUCAUUGCUUCUCUAUCAUCAUUGUAUUUAUUACUAGCUAUUCCUAUCAUGAUUAUCCCUAUUACUAGCUAUCAUAUCAUGAUUAUACCUAUUAUCUCUAUUUCUUGCUUCAUGUGACAUGUGUAAAGAAGUGAAGAGACAAGUGGCAUCAUGCAUGUAUGUCAAUGAAUAAGUGUCUUCAUAGAUAAAUUCAUCAACCCUAUGUAAACCAACUCCUCCUAAAACUACAUUCACACUAAUUUUACCAUCAUUGUAACUUAUGAUUAAUAAAUUAUAUUUUAAAUUUUCUUUUAAGUAAUUAGUCUAUUUUUUUUUAUGUAGCAUUUUUUAAUUUGAAUUUAUGUUUAGCAAUUUAUACUAAAUUUUUUUCACUAUGUUCAUUCCCUAAAAUUUGUAGACAACAUGUUGUCUUUUGUUCCUUUACUUUCUCAGCUUUCAUAUGUUAGUUGUUUAUGUGUCAUUCACAUGAUGCAAUGAUUUCAUUGUUAUGAAUUCUAUUGGCAUGACUUCUUUAUCAAUUCUAUUGAUUGCAUGUAUUCUUGGAACUUGCUAUAAUGUCCUUCACAAAUUUUUUAUCAUGCAAUCAUUCCUCCUACCUAUACCUAUAUUUUGAAUAGUACUCAUAUGUCCCAAAUAGCACUCAUUUGUCCCAAAUUACAAAUAGUAACUUUCUUUCAAAUAGUAACAUAUAGUACUCCUUUGUCCCAAAUUAGGAAUAGUAACCUAUAUAUUCUCAAAUAAUAACAUUCUUCCUAUAU